Balaenoptera ricei (Rice's whale) is the source of this 480-nucleotide long non-coding RNA. RefSeq lists it as uncharacterized. Lineage: Eukaryota; Metazoa; Chordata; Mammalia; Artiodactyla; Balaenopteridae. The record is from RefSeq and is a predicted model, not a curated record. The transcript is spliced from 3 exons.
UAUUACAAGAUAUUGAAUAUAGUUCCCUGUGCCGAAUACAGGGGCUACAGCUGUAUCUCCUCUCCUACAUGCUUUUUGUGAUGUAAACUUGCCACACUCCCACUGAGAAGUAGAGUCCUUUUCCACCCUCUUGAAAAUGGCUUCUGCUCUUGAUGUUCAUGCUCCCGUGAGCCCACAUGCCAAAUAAAAUAAACCUGGUAUUCCCUGCUGUUUGAUGUCAGAGAAACCAUGUGUAGGAGAGAAAAGCUAUCCCAGAUGAGUGCAUCCUAGACAAACGAGCCCCCAUCUGACCCGGCAGCUGACCCCAGACACAUGAGUGAGCCUAUCUAAGAAACUAGCAGAACAACCCAGUUGAGGCCAGCCAGACUUCCUAACUACAAAAUCAUAACCUAAAUGAUGAUUGUUGUUGUUAAGCCACUAAAUAUUGGACUAGUAUGUUUUGGAACAAAAGUAUAUGAUUAAUUAAAAAUUGAAAAUAUA